AUUGAACGCUGGCGGCAUGCCUUACACAUGCAAGUCGAACGGUAACAGGUCUUCGGAUGCUGACGAGUGGCGAACGGGUGAGUAAUACAUCGGAACGUGCCCGAUCGUGGGGGAUAACGAAGCGAAAGCUUUGCUAAUACCGCAUACGAUCUACGGAUGAAAGCGGGGGAUCUUCGGACCUCGCGCGGACGGAGCGGCCGAUGGCAGUUUAGGUAGUUGGUGGGAUAAAAGCUUACCAAGCCGACGAUCUGUAGCUGGUCUGAGAGGAUGAUCAGCCACACUGGGACUGAGACACGGCCCAGACUCCUACGGGAGGCAGCAGUGGGGAAUUUUGGACAAUGGGCGCAAGCCUGAUCCAGCCAUGCCGCGUGCAGGAUGAAGGCCUUCGGGUUGUAAACUGCUUUUGUACGGAACGAAAAGGUGCCUUCUAAUAAAGGGCGCUCAUGACGGUACCGUAAGAAUAAGCACCGGCUAACUACGUG
Molecule: ribosomal RNA, 482 nt
Filed under: uncultured bacterium
Lineage: Bacteria
Description: partial 16S ribosomal RNA
Rfam family: Bacterial small subunit ribosomal RNA
Source: RNAcentral